Molecule: long non-coding RNA, 497 nt
Organism: Rhincodon typus (whale shark)
Lineage: Eukaryota; Metazoa; Chordata; Chondrichthyes; Orectolobiformes; Rhincodontidae
Exons: 3
Source: RefSeq, a predicted model, not a curated record
GGGGCAAAACUGCCACUGAGCGUGAUGAGACUGGAUCCAAGUCCCAAACAUGUGAUAAAGUCCUAAAGAAACAGCAAAUGAAAAGUGAAAGCUCGACUCAUGUGACCCUUCCAAGAAGGGUCCUCCAAGCAUUCAACCCAAAUGUUUAUAGAAAUAUUGAGUAUGAAGUUUGGCAGAAAAUCGAACAAGCACAGCAGAAGAAAGAUUAUUCUAUUGCUGCUGGAAUGCAGUAUGUGGUUGGGGACAAAUGUAAGGUAAGCAUUACUGCAUUUUUCUCAAUGUUUUAAUUUUUACUCAAGAAUUAUGGUGAAAUUGUUUAAGACUGUAUCUCUUGCCGUAUCACUGGAUUAGAAAGCCUGUGUGACUGGUGUUAUCAUUGCGUGCCUGGAAGUGGCACCCACUCCACCUGGGUUGUGUUGUGUUGCUGCUGAGAUCAUCAAUGUGUGCCCACUCUCCACUCCGUCAUUUUGCUUAUUACCGUCCCACCUGUUCCGUUA